The sequence is an unclassified non-coding RNA, 272 nucleotides long. The stretch from base 1 to 46 matches the Rfam family "Eukaryotic small subunit ribosomal RNA", at positions 1786 to 1831 of the family's 1831-position model.
AAGUCGUAACAAGGUUUCCGUAGGUGAACCUGCGGAAGGAUCAUUAACGAGUUUUUGAAAGGGGUUGUAGCUGGCCAAAAAAUAAGGCAUGUGCACACCCUGCUCAAUCCACUCUCAAACCCCUGUGCACUUAUUGUAGGCUAUGGUGGGAUAGCUGGCUUCGGUCAGUUUGAAAGCCUUGUCUAUGUUUAUUACAAACGCUUCAGUCAAAGAAUGUCAUAUAGCGUCUAACGCAUUAUAUACAACUUUCAGCAACGGAUCUCUUGGCUCUC